RNAcentral lists this ribosomal RNA (419 nucleotides) under bacterium. RNAcentral's name for it is "partial 16S ribosomal RNA". It matches the Rfam family "Bacterial small subunit ribosomal RNA", at positions 355 to 776 of the family's 1533-position model. The record is from RNAcentral.
UGGGGGAUAUUGCACAAUGGGCGAAAGCCUGAUGCAGCGACGUCGCGUGGGGGAUGAAGGCCUUCGGGUUGUAAACUUCUUUUGCUCUGAACAAGGCAUGCUAAUGGGUGUGUUGAGUGUAGGGGUUGAUUAGCGCCGGCUAACUACGUGCCAGCAGCCGCGGUAAUACGUAGGGCGCGAGCGUUGUCCGGAAUUAUUGGGCGUAAAGGGCUUGUAGGUGGCUGGUUGCGUCUGUCGUGAAAGCUCAUGGCUUAACUGUGGGUUUGCGGUGGGUACGGGCUGGCUUGAGUGCAGUAGGGGAGGCUGGAAUUCCUGGUGUAGCGGUGGAAUGCGCAGAUAUCAGGAGGAGUACCGGUGGCGAAGGCGGGUCUCUGGGCUGUUACUGACACUGAGGAGCGAAAGCAUGGGGAGCGAACAGG